UACUUAGUGGCAGACGGGUGAGUAACAUGUAGGUAUCUGCCCUUUGGCCUGGAAUAACACGAGGAAACUUGUGCUAAUACCGGAUAAGUCUUUACGGAGAAAGCUUUAUGCACCAUUGGAUGAGCCUGCACUUGAUUAGUUUGUUGGUGGGGUAAUGGCCUACCAAGACUGUGAUCAAUAGCUGAUUUGAGAGGAUGAUCAGCCACAUUGGGACUGAGACACGGCCCAAACUCCUACGGGAGGCAGCAGUGGGGAAUCUUGCACAAUGGAGGAAACUCUGAUGCAGCGAUGCCGCGUGAGUGAAGAAGGCCCUUGGGUUGUAAAGCUCUUUCGUCGGGGAAGAAAAUGACUGUACCCGAAUAAGAAGGUCCGGCUAACUUCGUGCCAGCAGCCGCGGUAAUACGAAGGGACCUAGCGUAGUUCGGAAUUACUGGGCUUAAAGAGUUCGUAGGUGGUUGAAAAAGUUAGUGGUGAAAUCCCAGAGCUU
RNAcentral lists this ribosomal RNA (487 nucleotides) under uncultured Alphaproteobacteria bacterium. Its description in RNAcentral is "bacterial SSU rRNA". It matches the Rfam family "Bacterial small subunit ribosomal RNA", at positions 89 to 610 of the family's 1533-position model. Lineage: Bacteria; Pseudomonadati; Pseudomonadota; Alphaproteobacteria. The record is from RNAcentral.